AAGAAAUGAAUGGCUGACAAAAUUCCCCGCUUCAGAGAACAUUUAACAGUGAGCAUAUGGAAUAACUUUGUCAAAUGACCUGAAGAACAGUUUGCAGUUCUCCCACGGUCAGCUCGAUGUGUUGAAACAGGAGAGCGGCAAGUUCUGUGUGUGAAUCCAAGAUAACCUCGAGGGACAAUCAAGGCGGAACAACAUGGUUGUGGACGGAAUUGAAGAAUCUCCACAUGACACCUGGCCGGAGUCUGAGGACAAACCUACCAGAUUUCCCGGACUAAGUUACUAGCCGUUUUCCAGCCUGUACUGUUGCCUUUUUGGACCACUGUGUAUGACCUUCUGCC
Long non-coding RNA from Oncorhynchus tshawytscha (Chinook salmon), 338 nucleotides. NCBI's taxonomy places the organism in Eukaryota, Metazoa, Chordata, Actinopteri, Salmoniformes, Salmonidae. The record is from Ensembl.